Molecule: long non-coding RNA, 653 nt
Organism: Lagopus leucura (white-tailed ptarmigan)
Lineage: Eukaryota; Metazoa; Chordata; Aves; Galliformes; Phasianidae
Exons: 3
Source: RefSeq, a predicted model, not a curated record
GACACUUAACUUUAAGUUAGCAGAUCAAUAUCACCUUAAAAAGUGAACCACGCAAAGACAAAAUUGCUCUUUCAGGAGAAAAACACAUUUCCUUUCAGCCUUCAGAACUGUAGCCACCAGUAGGUGGUGUUUCUGAAAUGUCAGAGCACUUCUCCCCUACAGAUGAAAUGCAAAACUCCACCUGCACUACUGCUGCUUUUCAUGCAGGACUCCACGCUCACUGCUGCUCCACAUUCACUGCAAAGAAACCUAUUUCAUCCGAGGCCCUUUGAGCAGAACGAUUCUACCACGCGUCAAGAUGACAACACACACCUGAAAAUGUAAAUAUACAGACGACACAGGACUGACUCGCAGGUGACAUUCCCUGCAGCUCUGCACACCUAAAGGCAAGUUUAUCCUGGCACGGCAGUGGAAGUUGACACAUCCAUUAAGUGAGUACCUGAACGAGAAGCAGCCUUCUGCUGUCUGCAGGAAAACCAGCUCUGGAAAAAUGGAAUUAAGGUCCAAGGAUGUGCAAUGAGUAUUAACGGAACACAAAUGGAGCUAGAAUUCUGCCAUCUUCCGACCUGCACGGAGGAGAACUGCUGAUGAAAACCUUUCUUUGAAAUGAUCCAAGUACCAUUAUGGUAAAAAGAUCCCGACGUGAUCUUACA